Molecule: ribosomal RNA, 301 nt
Filed under: uncultured bacterium
Lineage: Bacteria
Description: partial 16S ribosomal RNA
Rfam family: Bacterial small subunit ribosomal RNA
Source: RNAcentral
CAGCAGCCGCGGGAAUACAGAGGGUGCGAGCGUUAAUCGGAUUUACUGGGCGUAAAGCGUGCGUAGGCGGCUUCUUAAGUCGGAUGUGAAAUCCCUGAGCUUAACUUAGGAAUUGCAUUCGAUACUGGGAAGCUAGAGUAUGGGAGAGGAUGGUAGAAUUCCAGGUGUAGCGGUGAAAUGCGUAGAGAUCUGGAGGAAUACCGAUGGCGAAGGCAGCCAUCUGGCCUAAUACUGACGCUGAGGUACGAAAGCAUGGGGAGCAAACAGGAUUAGAGACCCCCGUAGUCCUUGUCUCUUAUAA